UGCUAUUUUAUCCCAUUUAUUGUUCGCCCCAGAGUUUAUCUUUGGGGUUCCCAUCUUUAGGAAUUAAUUAAAAGCUUUGUCCACUACAACCCAUAUUUGGGAACUUCUUCCCGAUUAUGUGUUCCACCUUGCAGGCCGGACCCGUGAAUUUCUCUCAGGUGAUUAUGAAUGUUGAUUGAAUGCCUUCAGAAAGUGUACGGUGGGCCGACCCCGGCUUUACCGCCUUGCAAUGUCGAAGCGAUGGUAACCAAUUCUUUAGUGGCAGACCGGUGCGAGGAUACCACGUGGGGUAUCUGCCCUUGGGCCCUGGAAUAACUUGGGGUAAACUCGUUGCUAAUACCGGGUAAGGUCUUUCUGGAGAAUAGCUUUCUGCACCAUUGGAUGAGCCCGCACUUGAUUAGUUUGUUGGUAGGGUUAAUGGCCUACCAAGACUGUGAUCAAUAGCUGAUUUGAGAGGAUGAUCAGCCACAUUGGGACUGAGACACGGCCCAAACUCCUACGGGAGGCAGCAGUGGGGAAUCUUGCACAAUGGAGGAAACUCUGAUGCAGCGAUGCCGCGUGAGUGAAGAAGGCCUUUGGGUUGUAAAGCUCUUUCGUCGGGGAAGAAAAUGCCUGUACCCGAAUAAGAAGGUCCGGCUAACUUCGUGCCAGCAGCCGCGGUAAUACGAAGGGACCUAGCGUAGUUCGGAAUUACUGGGCUUAAAGAGUUCGUAGGUGGUUGAAAAAGUUGGUGGUGAAAUCCCAGAGCUUAACUCUGGAACUGCCAUCAAAACUUUUCAGCUAGAGUUUGAUAGAGGAAAGCAGAAUUUCUAGUGUAGAGGUGAAAUUCGUAGAUAUUAGAAAGAAUACCAAUUGCGAAGGCAGCUUUCUGGAUCAUUACUGACACUGAGGAACGAAAGCAUGGGUAGCGAAGAGGAUUAGAUACCCUCGUAGUCCAUGCCGUAAACGAUGUGUGUUAGACGUUGGAAAUUUAUUUUCAGUGUCGCAGCGAAAGCAGUAAACACACCGCCUGGGGAGUACGACCGCAAGGUUAAAACUCAAAUGAAUUGACGGGGACCCGCACAAGUAGUGGAGCAUGUGGUUUAAUUCGAAGAUACGCGCAGAACCUUACCAACACUUGACAUGUUCGUCGCGGCUCUAAGAGAUUAGAGCUUUCGGUUCGGCCGGACGAAACACAGGUGCUGCAUGGCUGUCGUCAGCUCGUGUCGUGAGAUGUUGGGUUAAGUCCCGCAACGAGCGCAACCCUCACUUUUAGUUGCCAUCAUUUAGUUGGGCACUCUGAAAGAACUGCCAGUGAUAAGCUGGAGGAAGGUGGGGAUGACGUCAAGUCCUCAUGGCCCUUACGUGUUGGGCUACACACGUGCUACAAUGGCAUUUACAAUAGGAAGCAAGAUGGCGACGUCAAGCAAAUCCUAAAAAGAUGCCUCAGUUCGGAUUGUACUCUGCAACUCGAGUACAUGAAGCUGGAAUUACUAGUAAUCGCGGAUCAGCGCGCCGCGGUGAAUACGUUCCC
RNAcentral lists this ribosomal RNA (1513 nucleotides) under uncultured bacterium. Its description in RNAcentral is "partial 16S ribosomal RNA". The stretch from base 168 to 1513 matches the Rfam family "Bacterial small subunit ribosomal RNA", at positions 1 to 1375 of the family's 1533-position model. The record is from RNAcentral.